RNAcentral lists this ribosomal RNA (497 nucleotides) under uncultured bacterium. RNAcentral describes it as "partial 16S ribosomal RNA". It matches the Rfam family "Bacterial small subunit ribosomal RNA", at positions 28 to 507 of the family's 1533-position model. The record is from RNAcentral.
GAUGAACGCUGGCGGCGUGCCUAAUACAUGCAAGUCGAGCGAACAGACGAGGAGCUUGCUCCUCUGACGUUAGCGGCGGACGGGUGAGUAACACGUGGAUAACCUACCUAUAAGACUGGGAUAACUUCGGGAAACCGGAGCUAAUACCGGAUAACAUGUUGAACCGCAUGGUUCAACAGUGAAAGACGGUCUUGCUGUCACUUAUAGAUGGAUCCGCGCCGCAUUAGCUAGUUGGUAAGGUGACGGCUUACCAAGGCAACGAUGCGUAGCCGACCUGAGAGGGUGAUCGGCCACACUGGAACUGAGACAUGGUCCAGACUCCUACGGGAGGCAGCAGUAGGGAAUCUUCCGCAAUGGGCGAAAGCCUGACGGAGCAACGCCGCGUGAGUGAAGAAGGUCUUCGGAUCGUAAAACUCUGUUAUUAGGGAAGAACAAAUGUGUAAGUAACUAUGCACGUCUUGACGGUACCUAAUCAGAAAGCCACGGCUAACUACGUG